RNAcentral lists this small RNA (458 nucleotides) under Histoplasma ohiense. RNAcentral's name for it is "hypothetical lncRNA". The record is from RNAcentral. Lineage: Eukaryota; Fungi; Ascomycota; Eurotiomycetes; Onygenales; Ajellomycetaceae.
CUGGUUUGGCCUGACUGCUCCUAGCCGGGUGGUGGGUAGAGGAGAAGGCGGCUUUCGCGCCCCCAGACUCGGGUCUGGCUUGACCUGACUAGGCCACCGACCCCUCUUGUUGAAAAUAUACGCAUUACUUGGGUUUAUAUCCCCUUCGCGCCCGUUUCUAUGGGAAUACCCUGCCAUACUCUGCCUGUGUUUCCCCGGCGGUGUUGCCAGGGUUCGUGCACCUCCAAUAUACCACACCCAUCUACCUGCUCUGAACGGGAACAGCCUGGGUUCGAUUCGGGGCCUUCCCACUCGUUUUCUUUGAUCUCUUUAUGCCUUUCUCUGGACUCCUCUCUGUGUGACACAUUUCCCUUGGAUCCAUUAGACCAAGGGGCCUCCGGCUUGGAUCCCCAACAGUUCAACAGUUCAUCCCCCUUUUUAACAAUAUCCAUCAUAUCUACAAACUAUUCUUUCCCCCA